This 289-nucleotide ribosomal RNA is filed under the name uncultured bacterium. RNAcentral describes it as "partial 16S ribosomal RNA". It matches the Rfam family "Bacterial small subunit ribosomal RNA", at positions 773 to 1060 of the family's 1533-position model. The record is from RNAcentral.
GUGGAUUAGAUACCCUGGUAGUCCACGCCGUAAACGUUGGGAACUAGGUGUGGGUCUCAUUCCACGAGAUCCGUGCCGCAGCUAACGCAUUAAGUUCCCCGCCUGGGGAGUACGGCCGCAAGGCUAAAACUCAAAGGAAUUGACGGGGGCCCGCACAAGCGGCGGAGCAUGUGGAUUAAUUCGAUGCAACGCGAAGAACCUUACCAAGGCUUGACAUAUACGAGAACGCGUCAGAGAUGACGAACUCUUUGGACACUCGUAUACAGGUGGUGCACGGUCGUCGCCAGCU